This 464-nucleotide ribosomal RNA is filed under the name uncultured bacterium. RNAcentral describes it as "partial 16S ribosomal RNA". It matches the Rfam family "Bacterial small subunit ribosomal RNA", at positions 339 to 795 of the family's 1533-position model. The record is from RNAcentral.
CUACGGGUGGCUCCAGUGGGGAAUAUUGGACAAUGGGGGAAACCCUGAUCCAGCAAUGCCGCGUGUGUGAAGAAGGCCUGCGGGUUGUAAAGCACUUUCGGUUGGGAGGACUGCUUCUAGCACUAAUAUUGUUGGAAGUUGACGUUACCUUCAGAAGCAGCACCGGCUAACUCCGUGCCAGCAGCCGCGGUAAUACGGGGGUGCAAGCGUUAAUCGGAAUUACUGGGCGUAAAGCGCGCGUAGGCGGCUAGAUCAGUCGGGUGUGAAAGCCCCGGGCUUAACCUGGGAACUGCAUCCGAUACUGUCUAGCUUGAGUACAGGAGAGGAGAGGGGAAUUUCACAUGUAGCGGUGAAAUGCGUAGAUAUGUGGAGGAACACCAAUGGCGAAGGCAGCUCUCUGGCCUGAUACUGACGCUGAGGUGCGAAAGCGUGGGGAGCAAACAGGAUUAGAUACCCGGGUAGUC